RNAcentral lists this small nucleolar RNA (131 nucleotides) under Castor canadensis (American beaver). RNAcentral's name for it is "Small nucleolar RNA SNORA51 (ENSCCNG00000009845.1)". It matches the Rfam family "Small nucleolar RNA SNORA51". Rfam says of the family: ACA51 is a member of the H/ACA class of snoRNA that guide the sites of modification of uridines to pseudouridines. Lineage: Eukaryota; Metazoa; Chordata; Mammalia; Rodentia; Castoridae. The record is from Rfam by way of RNAcentral.
AGCCUCCUGGUGUUUACCACAGGCUAUAUUCUUACAUUGACUGUAUAGAAAGAGGAAGCAAAGUAAACCUAUGCCAUAUACACUUCAGCCUAGACCCUGUGCCCAUCUGUAUUGUGAAUGAGGAGACAUGG